GCGAAAUGCGAUAAGUAAUGUGAAUUGCAGAAUUCAGUGAAUCAUCGAAUCUUUGAACGCACAUUGCGCCCGCCAGUAUUCUGGCGGGCAUGCCUGUUCGAGCGUCAUUACAACCCUCAGGCCCCCGGGCCUGGCGUUGGGGAUCGGCGGAAGCCCCCUGCGGGCACAACGCCGUCCCCCAAAUACAGUGGCGGUCCCGCCGCAGCUUCCAUUGCGUAGUAGCUAACACCUCGCAACUGGAGAGCGGCGCGGCCACGCCGUAAAACACCCAACUUCUGAAUGUUGACCUCGAAUCAGGUAGGAAUACCCGCUGAACUUAAGC
Molecule: unclassified non-coding RNA, 322 nt
Filed under: plant metagenome
Description: partial contains 5.8S ribosomal RNA, internal transcribed spacer 2, and large subunit ribosomal RNA
Rfam family: 5.8S ribosomal RNA (bases 1-107)
Source: RNAcentral